Non-coding RNA from Operophtera brumata (winter moth), 46 nucleotides. The record is from Rfam. Lineage: Eukaryota; Metazoa; Arthropoda; Insecta; Lepidoptera; Geometridae.
UCACAGGCUCUUCUAAGAGCUAUCCCUCAGGCAGAACAUGGAUUUG